RNAcentral lists this long non-coding RNA (288 nucleotides) under Elaeis guineensis (African oil palm). RNAcentral's name for it is "long non-coding RNA (EGUI_LNC033724)". Lineage: Eukaryota; Viridiplantae; Streptophyta; Magnoliopsida; Arecales; Arecaceae. The record is from RNAcentral.
UAGCUCAAUCCGUACGAUUUGAGGAGCUUGAGGGAUGUGUUCUGAGACGACGGAUAGAGUUCUAAAUUUACAGAGGUAGGUAUUAGCCUUAGCCAAUCUCCAGUCGCAUGAGGACAUCAUGGAGGUCUCCCACCUAUCUGCAAAGGCGGCUAGGCUUCAAAGAGUUUCGCAGAGUGGAUUUGAUUUUUUGAGUAGAGAGAUCAGGAGCUCCAGUGAGACUGUCUCUACUCAGAUUGGUGCCUUGAUGCAGUCUAUGAUGAGAGCUGUGGAAUAAUUGGAUACUAUCAG